AUUCCAGCUCCAAUAACGUAUAUUAAAGUUGUUGCGGUUAAAAAGCUCGUAGUUGGAUUUCUGUCGAAAGUGGCCGGUCCCCACUCUGUGGGCGUAUCUGGUUCGCUUUUGGCAUCCUCCUGUGACUCGCUCUGUCCUUCACUGGAUGGAGCGGAACGCAGGACUUUUACUUUGAGGAAAUUCGAGUGUUCACAGCAGGCAAUCGCCCUGAAGAUAUAGCAUGGAAUAAUAAUAUAGGACUUUGGUUUUAUUUUGUUGGUUUCUAAGGCCGAAGUAAUGAUUAAUAGGGAUAUUUGGGGGCAUUCGUAUUAAGCGGUCAGAGGUGGAAUUCUUGGAUUCGCUUACGACGAACUACUGCGAAAGCAUUAGUCAAGAAUGUUUUCAUCA
Molecule: ribosomal RNA, 387 nt
Filed under: Syndiniales sp.
Lineage: Eukaryota; Dinophyceae; Syndiniales
Description: partial small subunit ribosomal RNA
Rfam family: Eukaryotic small subunit ribosomal RNA
Source: RNAcentral